UUUGUCUUUUAAUUGAGGACUGGAAUGAAAGGUUGGACUAAAUAUUUUUGUCUUAUGAUAAUACUUUGAAAUUUAUUUUUUAGUAAAAAAGCUAAAAUUAAUUAUAAAGACGAGAAGACCCUAUCAAGUUUUACAAUUUUAGUUUAUUUUCAAAUUAAAUGUUAAAUUGUUUUGCUGGGGCAGCAGAUAAAAAUUUUUUAUCUAAAAAUUUUGAUAUAUAAAUCUUGAAAAAUCAAAAAAUUUUUAAUUAAGAAUAAAUUACUGUAGGGAUAACAGCAUAAUUUUUUUAAAGAGUUCUUAUCAUCAAAAAAGUUUGUGACCUCGAUGUUGGAUUAAAAUUCCUAAUUCGUGCAAUAAUGAAAAAAGGAAGUCUGUUCGACUUUUAAAUUUUUCCA
RNAcentral lists this ribosomal RNA (395 nucleotides) under Konetontli nayarit. Its description in RNAcentral is "partial 16S ribosomal RNA". The stretch from base 269 to 395 matches the Rfam family "Archaeal large subunit ribosomal RNA", at positions 2542 to 2669 of the family's 2987-position model. Lineage: Eukaryota; Metazoa; Arthropoda; Arachnida; Scorpiones; Vaejovidae. The record is from RNAcentral.